Triticum dicoccoides is the source of this 893-nucleotide long non-coding RNA. RefSeq lists it as uncharacterized. Lineage: Eukaryota; Viridiplantae; Streptophyta; Magnoliopsida; Poales; Poaceae. The transcript has 3 exons. The record is from RefSeq and is a predicted model, not a curated record.
UCAGCAGUCUAGCCACAUCAUCGUUCACACAUCAGCAUUCUAUUAGUCACUUACAUAUGGACCAACCAAUAUAGUAGGUACACCACCCGGCACAUAAGCGUUUAGUUCCUUGCUAGCUGGCCACAUAAUCGUUUAGUUACCUUCUAAAUGGACCCACCACAACCUUUCGGCAAAUCGCGGGAUUUAAUUUCCACUCAGUUGGCAUUAGUUCUUCCAUAUUCUGUAACUGGUGAUAUAGAGCUGAGACCCAGCGCCUUAUCAACUCCCCACCAAAUUUUGCUUGCACCUCUUUUCUUCCCUAUCAUGAAGGCUCGCUCCUCCAUCGGCAGUCCACGCCAAAGGUUCUAAUGCUCCGCCCACCGGCAGUCUGUUCCAGCCACAGCGUCUCCGUGUGUCCACAUACGCAGCGCCUACCUCCUCCGGUCAUCCAUGCAGGCGAGGGCCGUCGCACAACCGCUAGCAACCCACAACAGAAACACCAAAACGGCGCUACUCCUAUUUGACGCCAUGGCGGCCGGCUUGCCGAGACCCAGGCCACCACUCGCCGCUGACCACUGAGCAUCUGAGAUCGCUCUUCCGGACGCUCUUGAUUUCUCUUCAACCUUCGGACCGCCGGUAAUCCCACCCCAUAGAGCUGAACAGGGCAGUGAAGGCUUAUUUUACGCAAAUCAAUAUGACUCCACACAAAACUGAAGGACGGCAACCUUUCUACUCUUGAAUCAGGAUCUCACCUACAUGACUGACCAAGAUUUUCUCUUUAGCUGAAUUUGGCUAAUCUUUAUUACUGAAAAACUUUGGUCAGUGUCGGGUUUUCUGCUUCAAUUUCUCAUGCAUGUACACUAUAUAAAACUGCAGUUGCAGAGGUACUAGAUGCACUCACAAUUUCAACUUUA